CCUACGGGAGGCAGCAGUGGGGAAUAUUGGACAAUGGGGGCAACCCUGAUCCAGCCAUGCCGCGUGUGUGAAGAAGGCCCUCGGGUUGUAAAGCACUUUCAGUGAGGAAGAACGCCUGGUGGUUAAUACCCAUCAGGAAAGACAUCACUCACAGAAGAAGCACCGGCUAACUCCGUGCCAGCAGCCGCGGUAAUACGGAGGGUGCGAGCGUUAAUCGGAAUUACUGGGCGUAAAGCGCGCGUAGGUGGCUUGAUAAGCCGGUUGUGAAAGCCCCGGGCUCAACCUGGGAACGGCAUCCGGAACUGUCAAGCUAGAGUGCAGGAGAGGAAGGUAGAAUUCCCGGUGUAGCGGUGAAAUGCGUAGAGAUCGGGAGGAAUACCAGUGGCGAAGGCGGCCUUCUGGACUGACACUGACACUGAGGUGCGAAAGCGUGGGUAGCAAACAGGAUUAGAUACCCCAGGAGUC
This 465-nucleotide ribosomal RNA is filed under the name Vreelandella stevensii. RNAcentral's name for it is "partial 16S ribosomal RNA". It matches the Rfam family "Bacterial small subunit ribosomal RNA", at positions 338 to 795 of the family's 1533-position model. Lineage: Bacteria; Pseudomonadati; Pseudomonadota; Gammaproteobacteria; Oceanospirillales; Halomonadaceae. The record is from RNAcentral.